GGGGGAUAAGUUGAAAAUAUUGAAUUUGCGAAUCUGUGAAUGUGCAAAUGCCCAAAUGUGAACAUGCGAGUUCAGUCAGUCGCCAGCGCCAUCGGUGAUGUUUUUCUCGACACGCGCGGCACUUCAACGCAUUCCAUCAAUUUCCCGGGAGGAGUGUCCUGCUCUUUAUCUCUUCCAUCUGGUAAAUGACGGGGACACAACGGGCCGGCGUUAAUCGCCACAUUUGCGGCAAUGAUGGCGCAAAGAGGCGUCUAAUGAGACGGGUCAGCCGAGGGCCGCCGGUUCCCGGCCGCUGAAAGCGCGCGGCGCUUUUGUCCCGCCGCCCGUCAAGUACGGCAACAGCAAUUUGCGGCUCUAUGAUCACGUUGUUAGUGUUCGGAACCUCUGACUGACUUUUUUUUUUUUUUGUGAAU
This is a long non-coding RNA of Hippocampus comes (tiger tail seahorse), 413 nucleotides long. RefSeq lists it as uncharacterized. NCBI's taxonomy places the organism in Eukaryota, Metazoa, Chordata, Actinopteri, Syngnathiformes, Syngnathidae. The record is from RefSeq and is a predicted model, not a curated record. The transcript is spliced from 2 exons.